GCCACGCUGGGCGGGUCACUGGGACUCUGCCUCAGUCUCCCUGCUGCCCUUUGUAGGGUGCGGAUGAGGACCGAGUUCGUAUGCAUAAGCACUGAGAGCCUGCCUCUUAGUAGCGGUCUGGAUUGGAGUCCACCAGGCAGCGGCGUUGGGGGUCAGCAGUGUGUGAUCUUAGAACUGGGACCCCUUAGACUAGGAGCCCUACUGAUCGCAUGACUUCAACGUCUCUGAGCGCUACCUGCGUCGCACAUCAGACAGUGACAGUGCCUUUCCCACUUCAGCCUCCUUCAGAGAACAAGAACACCAGGCCAAGCCAUUUGUCUUUUGGGUUUGCUCCGGAAGAGGCAGAGGCCCCAGAACAUUGUGAUAUCCUGGCAGACAUUCAGCCGUGGCCAGUAGUGAGCAGAGAUUCAAUCUUCAUAGACAUGAACAACCCAGGCAGAGCUUCCCCUCUUCUUGAAUCUUUAGCCCCAUGUUCAGAUUCAACCACGAGAUGGUGGAAACCCAGGACAUCAAGGCAGCCAUGACAGUGCAACUAAAGACACUCAUGAAAGAAGACUCCAGAACUGCUUGGAAAGUGGCAAGAAC
Heterocephalus glaber (naked mole-rat) is the source of this 585-nucleotide non-coding RNA. The record is from RefSeq and is a predicted model, not a curated record. Lineage: Eukaryota; Metazoa; Chordata; Mammalia; Rodentia; Bathyergidae.